Molecule: long non-coding RNA, 1680 nt
Filed under: Eucalyptus grandis
Lineage: Eukaryota; Viridiplantae; Streptophyta; Magnoliopsida; Myrtales; Myrtaceae
Description: long non-coding RNA (EGRA_LNC003031)
Source: RNAcentral
AGCCGCCCCGAUCAGCUCCGUCCAGCAGACCCACGAAAUGGGUUUCCAGCUGGUUCGGGCCCGUUUUGGGCCGUUUCCCAGCCCCGAACCCGAGCCGUGCUUUGGGAACAAUCGUUCCUCGCGUCACCGCCGUCGGAUUGAUCCGAUUUGCGCGCGAUUUGGUGAGUAAUCUCACUAAUCUUGGAUUAGUUGGCUAAUUAUGCUUAAGGUUGGUUUAGAUUUAAUUAAUUAUGUUUAGGUUGUUAGAUUAGAAUAAAUUAGCAAUUAUUAGUGAAUUGUGAUGCGAUUUAAAUAAUUGAUUGCGCAAUUAACAAGUAGACGUGGUCUACUAAUUAUUGGAAGUGCUUCGGGAAUUUUCCCGACCCUUAGUGGGCUCCAAUUAGGCUUUUCGGGCCUAAGUGGAUAUUUUUAGUAUUUAAAUAUUAAUUUUCGAAAUUAAAUUAAAUAAUUAUUUAUUUUUUGAAAAUUCAAGGGAGAUGGUUCGGAACCGGAAUAUUGUGCUGAUGACUGUGGUGAAGUUCGUUUAUUUAAUCGGGCUUUAUUUUGAGCCAAAUGGGAUUUUUAAUAUUAAUUAUUUAAUAUUCGAAAUUAAUUAAUUAUUUAUUUAUUUUCCGAAAAUUCAACUGAGAUGGUUUGGAGCCGGAAUAUUGUGCUGAUGAUCGUGGUGAAGUCCGUUUAUGUAAUCGGGCUUUAUUUUGAGCUAAAUUGAAUUUUUAAUAAUAAUUAUUUAAUUUUCGAAAUUAAUAAAUAAAUUAAUUAUUUUUCGGAAAUUAAGAUUUUGAUGGCUGACGACCAAAAUCUCGUGCUGAUCAUCGUGGCGUAGCCCGUUUAUUUAUUUGAGCUCCACGUUGUAUGGAAUUGAAUAAAUUGUGAUAUUUUAGGGAUUUACCCUAAAUUGGUUGGAAUCGAUUGAGAUUGAAUUAUUGAUUGGUGAUUGACCAAGUAUGUUAUUCAACAUUUAUAAUGCUUUGUUGAGUUGAUUUAAUUAAUUGAUUGAGAAAUCGUUGGGUAUUGGAAUAUCACCUGGAAAAUGCACGUGAGUUUAGUGGUUGAUUAUAUUGAAUUGUUUACGUUGGCUCUGUGAUCAGUGUAUCACCAUGGCGAAAAAGACGCCCGAGAGCAUAUUGAAUUGUUUACGUUGGCUCUGUGAUCAGUGUAUCACCAUGGCGAAAAAGACGCUCGAGAGCAUAUUGAAUUGUUUACGUUGGCUCUGUGAUCUGUGUAUCACCUUGGCGAAAAAGACGCCCGAGAGCAUAGUAAAGUGUGCACUGUAUGUCACCUUGGCGAAUCGACGCCCGAGAGCAUUGAUGGAGCUCUGUGACUAAGUGCAGGCAUCUAAAAGGGCACGUGGCUCGGUGACUUGAUGUAUCACCUUGGCGAAGAGGUCGCCUUAGAGAAUACACGUGGGCCCAAGGUUCGAGGCACGUGACUCGGAGACUUGGAAGGUCAUCCUGGAGAAUACACGUGGCCUAGCUUUUAAAUAUCCCACAGUGGGGAUUGAUUUGUUUGGCAUGUAAUCGACUAGGUCGAUGCUUUGAUUUGAUGUUGUGAAUUGAUUGCCUGAAUGGAAAUGACCGUGAGUGGUCUUGUUGGAAUAUAAUCGACUAGGUCGAUUUGAUCGAUGCUUCGAUCGGUGAUAUGAUUGCUUGGAUGCCUAUUAUGAAUUGUACUGACUUGCAG